GAACUAGGGCUCGGUCUCCUUCAUUUUUCCCUCCCGCCCGAUAUCUGCCUCUAUCAUUUCCCCUCUCACUCAGGAUGUCGGCAUCUUUCCUCCGUGCCUUUCCCUCUCUCUGUUUCUCUCUCUGCUACAUCUUUCCUUUGUGCUCGGCGCCAUGGAGCCUCUAAAGUCUUGGUGUGAGUACACAACGCCGACGGGCUGGAGUGGUUCUGCCCCGCGACCUCUACGCCUUCUGGGUCCUGCUCCGCCACCACAACCACCAUGCGCUUCGUCCUCGUUGGGUCUCAUCUCUUCUGGAUAGCAAUCAUUCCUAUUGCUGUAAGUUCUCUUUCUUCCUUGACUAGUUUGGCAUUUUAAUUGGGGUGCUGGAGAUGACUUUUCAACACUUAACUGAUCAUCUCAUAUUGUCUUGGAAAUUUACUUCUACUCCCUCUCUCUCUCUCUCUCUCUCUCUCUCCUGUUUCUGCUUUUUGGCAUCCUGAAUGCCUCCGGUGCCAUGCUUGCAACCUACCGAUAUCUGAUUAUGAGGUAAAAAAAACACCCAAGAAAACUUUCAUAGCACUCUACGUCUGGGAAUAAACCAUACUUCUGUUUUUGUGGAUUUUUUUUUCUUUUUUUUUUUAUUUUUAUUUUGUGAAAAUAAGAUAUCAUAAGGAUAAUGAUACUAGUGAAACGUUUCACUAGUAAUUUUUAUUUUUUUGGUAACAAAUUAUUUGCGGCAAAUUAAAGUUGCUGCAAAAGUUCAAUUUGUCGUCGAAAAGACUUAUUUGUGAUGAAACACAUUCGUUAGAAAAUGUUAUUUGCGGCAAUUUUAUACUACUUUUCGCCGCAGAAUUUUUUUCUCAACAAUUUCCUUUGAUAAUGGAAUACACAUUUUCGAAAA
This is a long non-coding RNA of Juglans regia (Persian walnut), 880 nucleotides long. RefSeq lists it as uncharacterized. The transcript has 2 exons. NCBI's taxonomy places the organism in Eukaryota, Viridiplantae, Streptophyta, Magnoliopsida, Fagales, Juglandaceae. The record is from RefSeq and is a predicted model, not a curated record.